This 690-nucleotide ribosomal RNA is filed under the name Triticum aestivum (bread wheat). Its description in RNAcentral is "partial small subunit ribosomal RNA". Lineage: Eukaryota; Viridiplantae; Streptophyta; Magnoliopsida; Poales; Poaceae. The record is from RNAcentral.
AUGGGCGCCACGGAGGAUUCCUCCUCCGGCUCCGAGACCACCACCUCGUCCUCGGUGGAGGCCCUGGCCUCGCCGCCGUCCCCGACGGCCACCACCGCGUCGUCGAAGAAGAAGCGGCCGCGCAACGACGGGCGGCACCCGACGUACCGCGGGGUGCGCAUGCGGAGCUGGGGCAAGUGGGUGUCGGAGAUUCGGGAGCCCCGCAAGAAGUCGCGCAUCUGGCUCGGCACCUUCGCCACCGCGGAGAUGGCGGCGCGCGCGCACGACGUGGCCGCCCUCGCCAUCAAGGGCCGUGCCGCGCACCUCAACUUCCCCGACCUCGCCCACGAGCUCCCGCGCCCGGCCACCGCCGCGCCCAAAGACGUCCAGGCGGCCGCCGCACUCGCCGCCUCCGCCGACUUCCCGGCCUCUGCCACUGCAGCUGCCAAUGCCGGCGCCAAGAACCCCGACGGCCCGGAACACAGCGGCGCCUCCGCCUCUGCCUCCGCCUCUGCCUCUGCCUCUGCCUCGCCGCCGCCUGACACCGCUGAGGAUGCGCUGUUCGACCUCCCCGACCUCCUCUUCGACCUCAGACACGGCCCUCCGUCCUGCCAGCUUUCGUGCGCCUCCUCGUGGGACGACGACGUGGCCUUCGCCGGCCCUGGCGCCGGCGUGUUCCGCCUGGAGGAGCCGCUGCAGUGGGAGUACUAA